AGGAGACCCUGGAGAGGUGGAGAUCUGCUCUAGAGAGGAGAGGAGUGAAGGUCAGUAGGACCACCAAGACAGAAUACAUGUGUGUGAAUGAGAGGGAGGUCAGUGGAGUGGUGAGGAUGAAGGGAGUAGAGUUGGCGAAGGUGGAUGAGUUUAAAUACUUGGGAUCAACAGUACAGAGUAAUGGGGAUUGUGGAAGAGAAGUGAAGAAGAGAGUGCAGGCAGAGUGGAAUGGGUGGAGAAGAGUGUCAGGAGUGAUUUGUGACAGACGAGUAUCAGCAAGAGUGAAAGGGAAGGUCUACAGGACGGUAGUGAGACCAGCUGUGUUAUAUGGGCUGGAGACGGUGG
Erpetoichthys calabaricus (reedfish) is the source of this 345-nucleotide long non-coding RNA. RefSeq lists it as uncharacterized. NCBI's taxonomy places the organism in Eukaryota, Metazoa, Chordata, Cladistia, Polypteriformes, Polypteridae. The record is from RefSeq and is a predicted model, not a curated record. The transcript has 2 exons.